AUAGCCUCCGAAUAACGAGAAAGUGAAAUAUAGGAACACUUUCUGGUUCAGACAGAGGCUUAUAUCAAAACUCGAAUCAGUUUUUGAGGGUGAAAGAGCUUUACUCUUUUUUUGCUCAUCAAAUCCAUCAUCCGUUUCUUGGAUAGAUUCGAAUAUCU
Molecule: non-coding RNA, 158 nt
Organism: Brassica rapa (field mustard)
Lineage: Eukaryota; Viridiplantae; Streptophyta; Magnoliopsida; Brassicales; Brassicaceae
Source: Rfam